This is a small nucleolar RNA of Sciurus vulgaris (Eurasian red squirrel), 70 nucleotides long. Lineage: Eukaryota; Metazoa; Chordata; Mammalia; Rodentia; Sciuridae. The record is from Ensembl.
UAUCAUUGAUGACAGUUAUCCUGAAACUGAUUACCUAAAGAAAAGCAUAUAUGGAUUCAGCUUCAGAGAU